AUUGAACGCUGGCGGCAGGCCUAACACGUGCAAGUCGAGCGGAUGAAGGGAGCUUGCUCCUGGAUUCAGCGGCGGACGGGUGAGUAAUGCCUAGGAAUCUGCCUGGUAGUGGGGGAUAACGUCCGGAAACGGGCGCUAAUACCGCAUACGUCCUGAGGGAGAAAGUGGGGGAUCUUCGGACCUCACGCUAUCAGAUGAGCCUAGGUCGGAUUAGCUAGUUGGUGGGGUAAGGGCCUACCAAGGCGACGAUCCGUAACUGGUCUGAGAGGAUGAUCAGUCACACUGGAACUGAGACACGGUCCAGACUCCUACGGGAGGCAGCAGUGGGGAAUAUUGGACAAUGGGCGAAAGCCUGAUCCAGCCAUGCCGCGUGUGUGAAGAAGGUCUUCGGAUUGUAAAGCACUUUAAGUUGGGAGGAAGGGCAGUAAGUUAAUACCUUGCUGUUUUGACGUUACCAACAGAAUAAGCACCGGCUAACUUCGUG
RNAcentral lists this ribosomal RNA (484 nucleotides) under uncultured bacterium. RNAcentral describes it as "partial 16S ribosomal RNA". It matches the Rfam family "Bacterial small subunit ribosomal RNA", at positions 30 to 507 of the family's 1533-position model. The record is from RNAcentral.